RNAcentral lists this ribosomal RNA (468 nucleotides) under uncultured bacterium. Its description in RNAcentral is "partial 16S ribosomal RNA". It matches the Rfam family "Bacterial small subunit ribosomal RNA", at positions 35 to 507 of the family's 1533-position model. The record is from RNAcentral.
GGGGGGGGGGGGGGGGGGGCGGGGGGCGGGCGGGGCGGGCGGGGAGGCCGGGCGGGGGUGGGGGGCUCGAGUGGCGAACGGGUGAGUAACACGUGAGUAACCUGUACUUGACGGUGGGAUAACUUCAGGAAACUGGGGCUAAUACCGGAUAGGCGCUCCUGCUUCAUGGUGGGGGUUGGUAAGUUUAGGCGGUUGGUGAUGGACUCGCGUCUUAUCAGCGUGUUGGUGGGGUAGUGGCUUACCCAGGCUUUCACGGGUAGCCGGACUGAGAGGGUGACCGGCCUCAUUGGGACUGAGAUACGGCCCAGACUCCUACGGGAGGCAGCAGUGGGGAAUAUUGCACAAUGGGCGGAAGCCUAAUGCAGAAACGCCGCGUGCGGGAUGACGGCCUUCGGGUUGUAAACCGCUUGCGCCUGUGACGAAGCGUGAGUGACGGUAAUGGGUAAAGAAGCACCGGCUAACUACGUG